AGUAUGAAAAUAGCACUACACAGUGGAAGGUUGCUGAUACGUCUUCGAUCCCCAUAAAAUCCGAACUCCAAUACCAGUUCGAAUUGAAAGACUUAAAAUACGCCUACACAUUGUACGAAGUACGAGUUCAAAUAAAAUCUGCAGUAGCUCCGAAUGAAACCAGCAAAUGGUCCGAGUACAGAUCAGUGUUCUUCAAAACUUUACCAGAAAAGCCUUCUAGGCCGCCAAAUACAGUCAUCAGCAGUUACGAAGUGGUCAAC
Long non-coding RNA from Ctenocephalides felis (cat flea), 260 nucleotides. RefSeq lists it as uncharacterized. NCBI's taxonomy places the organism in Eukaryota, Metazoa, Arthropoda, Insecta, Siphonaptera, Pulicidae. The record is from RefSeq and is a predicted model, not a curated record. The transcript is spliced from 3 exons.